AUGGUUAGUCUCAAACAAUAUCUUGGGGUUCCGAGUUCAAGUCUCACUUGGUUUUUAUCUUUAUCUUUUUUUUAUCAGGGCAUACAAUUUGUUAUGUUUGAAAUCCAAAGCAAAUGGGUGGCAGCAGUCUUGUCAAGGCGGGUUACACUUCCCACAGAAGAUAAGAUGAUGGAAGAUAUUAGUGCGUGGUAUGCAUCGCUUGAUGCGGUAGGCAUUCCUAAAAGAUAUACACAUAAAUUGGGUAAAAUUCAGGUGAGUACCUUAUAUUCUGAAUAUGAUUACAUGCCUAUAUCUAAAUAAAUUCGAUUAGUUCAAAAUCAUUUUUUCACGUUUUCUUGUGAAUUUUUUUUUUUGAAACAUAAUUCACAUGUUUUAAUUAUAAAACCUCUUUUUGUUCACCAUAAAAAGUUUCUGCAAAGAAAAAAUGCAAACGUAAGGCUUUUAAUUUUUAGAUUUACAAUUAACAAAGUAUUUUUUUUUUUUUGCCUAAAAUUGUUGAUGAACUUUUUUUAAAAAACUGAACUAAUAGAAAUUCAAGUAAAAUGUAAACAAACAAUCAAAGAAAUAUUAUCGACUCAAGAAUAAAAUCAUGUCAAUGACUUUGUUUGAAAAAAAUAUAUUUCAUCUUGCAGAGUGAGUACCUCAAUUGGGUCGCAGAAGAAUGUGGUUGUCCGCUCGUUGAACAUUGGAGAAAUCAACAAAUCGUCCGCGGAUACCAGAGACUUGUCUCACACCCAGA
Molecule: long non-coding RNA, 739 nt
Filed under: Arabidopsis thaliana (thale cress)
Lineage: Eukaryota; Viridiplantae; Streptophyta; Magnoliopsida; Brassicales; Brassicaceae
Description: long non-coding RNA (ATHA_LNC000607)
Source: RNAcentral